RNAcentral lists this RNase P RNA (328 nucleotides) under Flavobacterium sp. 5. RNAcentral's name for it is "Bacterial RNase P class A". It matches the Rfam family "Bacterial RNase P class A". Rfam says of the family: Ribonuclease P (RNase P) is a ubiquitous endoribonuclease, found in archaea, bacteria and eukarya as well as chloroplasts and mitochondria. Its best characterised activity is the generation of mature 5'-ends of tRNAs by cleaving the 5'-leader elements of precursor-tRNAs. The record is from RNAcentral. Lineage: Bacteria; Pseudomonadati; Bacteroidota; Flavobacteriia; Flavobacteriales; Flavobacteriaceae.
ACCGCAGACCGCCUUAUCGUCGUCUCGUCUUUAUGGACGGGAGGGAGGAAAGUCCGGACACCAUAGAGAAGCAUAGCGGGUAACCCCCGUCGGUUUCGAGCAAUCGAAAUUAGGACAAGUGCAACAGAAAGUAUGUACAGGUAAUGCUGUAGUGAAACCAGGUAAACUCUAUGCGGUGAAAUAUCAAGUAUAUCAGCAUUUAAGGGCUUCUCGUCCGUUGUUGAAGGGUAGAUAGCUUGAGCUUAUGAGUAAUUAUAAGUCUAGAUAAAUGAUAAGGUAUCGUUAGUAAUAACGAGAACAGAAUCCGGCUUAUAGGUCUGCUUUUUCU